Molecule: long non-coding RNA, 4397 nt
Organism: Oncorhynchus tshawytscha (Chinook salmon)
Lineage: Eukaryota; Metazoa; Chordata; Actinopteri; Salmoniformes; Salmonidae
Source: Ensembl
CCACCCUGCCUAGCCUCACCUAGCCCCACCCCGCCUAGCCUCACCCCGCCUAGCCUCACCUAGCCCCAACCCACCUAGCCCCACCCUGCCUAGCCCCGCCUAGCCUCACCUAGCACCACCCCGCCUAGCCCCUCCAGGCUCAGUCUGCUCUGCACCACAGGCCCCAUCUGUACACUAUGCAACUCUUUGGAUACGUCCCAAAUAGCACCCUUUCCCUAUGUAGUGCACUACUUCUGACCAGCACUACAUAGGGAGUAGGGAGCCAUUCGGAAUAGAACCAAUGUUCACAAUACACAAGAAGAACUUUAUUUAUUGAACAUAGUUUUCUAACUUUAACUCGACUACCUUUCUGUUCAUAUGGAACGAGAAACAAAAUCAUGGAUUUGAGGAUAUUUAAAAAAUAUUUAAGGUUUUAUUUUAUCACUGUUGGUUGCUCACAACUACUACAAUAUUUCUCAUAACGUUUAGAACAAUAAUACAAGUGUAUUUAUUCUGAAAGGAGAUGUGAAGAGGGCUUGCUUUGUGACGAUACCUCAGUGUGUUAAAACUCUUCUCAGUUUACAUUGCAUACAAUACUUCAUCUCCUGGCCUCUUGUGUCCCAAAUGGCACCCUAUUCCUUAUAUAGUGCACUACUUUCACCGGAGCCUUAUCAGCCUUGGUCAAAAGUAGUGCACAACAUAGAGAAUAGGGUGCCAUUUGGGACGCACAACCGGUCUCACAUCAUCUCUGAACCCUCCAUGUAGAAUAACAGCCAUGUUCUCUCUUUAAGGCAGACUAAGGGCUGAGAGAGAGGUGGUAAUAUCACACCACAUCUGUGAUAUAAAGGUCUUUGUUGCUGUUUCUUGGAUGAGACCAUAACGUAGGCUAAUACAAUUCCCCCCCCCCUUGUUACGCCGCUUUCUGUGUUACGAGAUUGUGAAUGGUUUCAUUAAAGGCUGACUCAGCGAGAUGUCGUUGCACAAAGUUAACACCACCCUGCCUAGCCCCACCCUGCCUAGCCCCACCCUGCCUAGCCCCACCUAGUUAACACGUAGUGGAUCCAUUUCCUCCACAACUAGGGAGCACGAGGUUUAACUACUCCGCUGUUUUGGUCCUGUAGUUACCACAUUGUAGCAGCGUGAAGCGCGAGGUUAAACUACUCCGCUGUUUUGGUCCUGUAGCUACCACGUUGUAGAAGCGUGAGGUUAAACUACUCCGCUGUUUUGGUCCUGUAGUUACCACGUUGUAGAAGCGUGAGGUUAAACUACUCUGCUGUUUUGGUCCUGUAGCUACCACGUUGUAGAAGCGUGAGGUUAAACUACUCCGCUGUUUUGGUCCUGUAGCUACCACGUUGUAGAAGCGUGAGGUUAAACUACUCCGCUGUUUUGGUCCUGUAGCUACCACGUUGUAGAAGCGUGAGGUUAAACUACUCCGCUGUUUUGGUCCUGUAGCUACCACGUUGUAGAAGCGUGAGGUUAAACUACUCCGCUGUUUUGGUCCUGUAGCUACCACGUUGUAGCAGCGUGAAGCACGAGGUUAAACUACUCUGCUGUUUUGGUCCUGUAGCUACCACGUUGUAGAAGCGUGAGGUUAAACUACUCCGCUGUUUUGGUCCUGUAGUUACCACGUUGUAGCAGCGUGAAGCACGAGGUUAAACUACUCUGCUGUUUUGGUCCCGUAGCUACCACGUUGUAGCAGCGUGAAGCGUGAGGUUAAACUACUCUGCUGUUUUGGUCCAGUAGCUACCACGUUGUAGCAGCGUGAAGCGCGAGGUUAAACUACUCCGCUGUUUUGGUCCCGUAGCUACCACGUUGUAGCAGCGUGAAGCGUGAGGUUAAACUACUCUGCUGUUUUGGUCCAGUAGCUACCACGUCGUAGCAGCGUGAAGCGCGAGGUUAAACUACUCCGCUGUUUUGGUCCCGUAGCUACCACGUUGUAGCAGCGCGAGGUUAAACUACUCUGCUGUUUUGGUCCCGUAGCUACCACGUUGUAGCAGCGUGAAGCACGAGGUUAAACUACUCUGCUGUUUUGGUCCCGUAGCUACCACGUUGUAGCAGCGUGAGGUUAAACUACUCUGCUGUUUUGGUCCAGUAGCUACCACGUUGUAGCAGCGUGAAGCACGAGGUUAAACUACUCUGCUGUUUUGGUCCCGUAGCUACCACGUUGUAGCAGCGUGAGGAUAAACUACUCCGCUGUUUUGGUCCUGUAGCUACCACGUUGUAGCAGCGUGAGGUUAAACUACUCUGCUGUUUUGGUCCAGUAGCUACCACGUUGUAGCAGCGUGAGGUUAAACUACUCUGCUGUUUUGGUCCAGUAGCUACCACGUUGUAGCAGCGUGAGGUUAAACUACUCCGCUGUUUUGGUCCAGUAGCUACCACGUUGUAGCAGCGUGAAGCGCGAGGUUAAACUACUCUGCUGUUUUGGUCCAGUAGCUACCACGUUGUAGCAGCGUGAAGCGCGAGGUUAAACUACUCUGCUGUUUUGGUCCAGUAGCUACCACGUUGUAGCAGCGUGAAGCGCGAGGUUAAACUACUCUGCUGUUUUGGUCCAGUAGCUACCACGUUGUAGCAGCGUGAAGCGCGAGGUUAAACUACUCCGCUGUUUUGGUCCUGUAGCUACCACGUUGUAGCAGCGUGAAGCACACCCGUGCACAUGCUUUGUGUGAUUGUAUCUCACUUCAUCUUCGUUGCAACGUCAUCUCGAUGAGUCUACUUUUAAUUCCAUUGUAUCGUCAGCGGACGGUCUCCCAGUUGGGUCAGUACUCUGUCAGUACAUGUCUGUAUGGUGCUGUGUUUUAUGUUGGAAUAAUACUUCCAGGAGACUGGACCUUGACAGCGUACUGCAUCUAAGAACUAUCCCUUUGUGAUAUUACUGAAACUUAACCAACUGCCAUAUCUACUUAAAAGUUAUAUAUUUUACAAUUUCAACAGAGCAAAACAUUGUAUUUUCAGAUGUGUCAAAUAAAUUAACUUUUUUUUUUUACAACUUGUACUUCUCAGGUCAUUUAUCAUAUCCAGAGUGUGUAAAAAAAUUGACUUAAUUUGUUUCACAGAAGGGUACAUUUGUUUAUUUAAACAAAUCAUAUUUCAAAGGUGUAAAUGUCUCCCAUAUUAGUCAAUAGAAACAACCAUUUGGCUUAGUUCAUUAAAUGUCAGUAGUUACAGUGCCUUCAGGAAGCAUUCACAACCCUCAACUUUUCACACAUUUUGUUGUUACAGCAUGAAUUGUUUUUUUAUUUACAUUUAGAUUUUAUCACUGGCCAGCACAUAACACCCCAUCAUGUCAAAGUGGAAUUGUUUAUUUUUUGAAAUUAACUAAAAAUUAAAAGCUGAAAUGUCUAGAGUCAAUAAGAAUUCAACCCCUUUAUGGCAAGCCUACCAAGACAGUGGCCAAGUUACAAUUUUAACUUAAAUCUAUGGCAAUACCUGAAAACGGUGGUCUAGCAAUGAUUAACAACCCAUUUGACACAGCUUGAAGAAUUUAGAAAAUAAUGUGCAGAUGUUGCACUAUCCAGGUGUGGAAAGUGCUUAAGACUUACCCAGAAACACUCACACCUGUAAUCACUGUCAAAGGUGCUUCUACAAAAUAGUGACUUGGGUGUGAAAACUCAUGUAAAUUAUAUUAUAUAUAUAUAUAUAUUUCAUUUAAGUAAAUUUGAAAACGUGUUUUCACUUUUAUUAUGGGGUAUUUGUGUCUAGAUGGGUGAGGGGGAAAACAUCUAUAUAAUCCAGGCUAUAACAAACUGUUUUCACUUUUAUUAUGGGGUAUUUGUGUCUAGAUGGGUGAGGGGGAAAACAUCUAUAUAAUCCAGGCUAUAACAACACCUGUGGAAUAAGUCCAUGGGGAGAAAUACUUUCUGAAGACACUAUAACAAACAUAUAAAACAACAUGUAAAGUUUUGGUCCCAGGUUUCAUGAGCUGAAAUAAAAGAUCCCAGAAAUGUUCCAUGUGCACAAAACGUUUCUCAAAUGAUGUGCACAUUAGUUAACAUCCUCGUUAGUGAGCAUUUCUCCUUUUUGCCAAUUUAAUCCAUCCAUCUGACAGGAGUGGCAUAUCAAGAAGCUCAUUAAACAGCAUGAUCAUUACACAGGUGCACCUUGUGUUAAAGGUUUGAGGGAGAGUGCAAUUGGUAUGCUGACUGCAGGAAUGUCCACCAGAGCUUUCAAUGGUUUUUUUCUACCCUAAGCUGCUUUCGUUUUAGAGAAUUUGUCAGUAUGUUGAACCGGCCUCAUAACCGCGGCCCACUUGUAACAACACCGUUCCAGGACCUCCACAUCCGGCUUCUUCACCUGCGGGAUCGUCUGAGGCCCGCCACCCGAACAGCUGAUGAAACUGUAGGUUUGCACAACUGAAUCAUUUCUGCAUAAACUGUCAGAAACCGCCUCGGGGAAGCUCAUCUGCGUGCUCGUCCUCCUCA